UUUCUUCAGGCGCCUUGUAGUCACCUACAUAAGGGCAAAGAAGCUCCCCAAGAAGGGGCGAAGCCUGUAAAAUUAGAAGCUGGGUUAGCGCUGAGACUCCGGAGAGCUUUGGGAGAAAGUUGCUGGGUCAAACCUCAGAUUCACAGGAGCAGUUUAAUCACAUUGGCUGGAAUCCUUACCUAAUCAGGAGUAUCACUAGAGCCCAAGUCACCAGCAUUUCAAAGUUCCUACCAAGAAUUCACAGCAACUGGUGAGCACCAUAUCUUUCUUUCUAUCACAUCCACAUAUGGUGAAAUUGACAUGCGGACCGCUUAAAAAUUAUCAGCAGAAGAAUCCUUAUCCUAAUAGUUAAGCUUGCUCCAGACCAAAUCAUGCUUUCAAUAGCAUAGAGUGAGUGUGAAAGGAAAAUGGCGAGAUUAGAGAAUUGAAAAAUGAAGUGAAAGGGAGAACAAGGAGCCAAAAAACAAAUCAGGAAGAUAAUAAAAGAUGAUUUGUUCUUUUAACAACUGUGGGCUAAUUAAGAGUGUUUCCUGAUGUUAAAGACUAGCAUCCAAUUUUUUUUUCCCCAUUAGAAAAUGCAAAGGUAGCAGCUUCUUCCAAGGCUCUAAGCCAUCCCCUGUGGACUGCCCUCUGCUUUCACAGACCAUAACUUGAAAAAGAAAAAUGACAGAAAGGAAGAAAGGCCCCUAACAGCUGGAGCUUUAAUUUACCUACAUGGAAAAAAAGAAAAGUACUCCAUUCAGAGAUUUCUCCUGGAUUGCCCUAUUUGGAGGAAAGAAAAGCGCCAGAGAAAAUUGCCAAAAAAAAAAAAAAAGAAAAAAGAAAGAGAAAAGAAAGAAAGAAAAGAAAAAAAGAAAGAAAAAGAAAAAAAGCUUUUUGAAAGAGAUCAUAUGAAAAGAGCAAAUCUUGAAAAUGUGUUUAAUAACUGCCAGUGUUGAAUUCUCUGGCAGUCUUUACUGAGCAGUUAAAGACCAGCCAGCAUAUGAAAGAGUCUGAAUUAGCACAGUCUAGAGCUGACAAAUGUAGUGCAAGAAGAUUUAUUCUUUCUCACCUAUGAUUUUGAAAUCAGAAUGAUUCGGUAUUUAAGGAAGGUGCUGCAACUGUUGCAUUCAUUUGUGCUGAGGGCUUCUAGCUAGACCUAAAGCUGGGUCUGCAAAAUGGAAGAACAAUGCUCCCAAGCUACCAAGUUAGUGUCCCACAGAAUAUUUUUAAAUUAUUUAACACACAUCAUCUCAAUGUCAACAACUCAUCACAGAUAAACUAUCUAAUUAACAGAACCCUUCAUAGUAUUUGAUAACUGAGUCUUGGCUCGGUUAUUACACCAGAAGGGCAAUCCUUGAUAAGCAGAAAUUAUAAAAGCAGAUUUUUAGAAGCAUUAAUGCAGAAAUAGAAUCAAGUUAGUUUGGAAUUAACCCCCUGUUAGAAUUUAAAACAUUUGAAAGUAAUCUGAUUGCCACUUACAACAUGGAAGGAUCUCUUUGGCUAUAAGGUUUUUGUCUAACUGCCAACAUCUGUACUUGGAUUUCUUUGUUGUAUAUUAGGUUCUGAAUAUCAAGGGUAACCAACAUGGCAGACCACACUAAAGGAACAGAUGAGUUUAUCUUGUCAUUAGAGCCUCCCACCACAGCCUUUAAUAAUUAUAGCUAAUUCUAGGAUUGUGUUCUAUAUUCUGCUUAGUAAGUCCAGAUUUUUUCUCUCUUCAACUCCAUGUUGGCAAGACUUCUAGAGAAACAGAAUAAAAUUAAGAGUAGAAAUAAUUAUUAGAAUAAUUAACUGGUUGCCCAAAUUUGGCUCUCAAUAGUCAUUCUGAUAGAGGAGAAAGAAAGAAGACUAAUCAUAAUGAUAACUCCUUUUCCCACCAGCCUUUAUCCAAGAAGCUCCACAGUGCUACAAAUUACAUUGAUAAGGAACAAGGAAAAGGUGGAGCUAUAAGUAGAAAAUGAUGUGAAAUUAAGUCCUGUAAAGUUUUAGGUUUUGGGCUUACAUCUCACUCCCCUCCCACCGUGAAUAGUAAAUUACAUUAGUAAUUCAUGAGUUUCCCUCAAUAAGCAUUAAAUACCUACUAUGUGCAAGGCACCUUUCUAGGCAUUGAAGAUAGAAAGCCAAAAAUAAAACAACCUUCCCUUCAAGGAAAAUGGGAAUUAUGUUGGAAAUUAAUAACUUACAAUAGUUUCUUUAAGUAAGGAAAUAGAUUCCAUACAACAAUUUCAAUUAAUUGAACAUAAUAUGAAACCUUGAUGAACUUUUAAAUGUGUAAACAAGAUAGUUUACACCUUGUGAUAUCUUUUCUAGGCAGAGAUAUCCUUGAUUGGAUCAAGAAGGGAAAAUUGUGAUAGACCAAGCUAAUGAGAUAACAAUGUCUCUGGGGACAUAGUGGAAGUUCAGCAGUUACUCAGGCCAAUAGCAGACCAGUCAAGUAGUAGAGGACUCCAGGCUCAGAUGUAUCUUGAGAAAUCAGAACCUUGCAUUUAUACUAGAGGGCAGCAAGAUGGGUGGGGAGUGAGGCUAGAAGGAAUACUACAGUCCCCCUUUCCAACUUCAUUACUAGGCCUAUAUUUGAAAGAGAUCAAAGGAAAGAGAGAAGCUCUUUUUGUAGUAGCAAAGAACUGAAAAUUAAGAUAGCCCUCAUUUAGGGGACCAAUGAACCAAUUAUGGCAUAUAAAUGUAAUGGAAUACUAUUGUGUGAUUAAAAAUGAUGCAAGGGAUGGUUUCAGUCAAAGGAUGGUUUCAAUGAAAUCUGGGAAGUCUCAUGAACUAAGGCAGAGAGAAGUGAGCAGAACAAAGAGAUCAAUUUAUACAGUAAAAACAACACUGUUAAAACUACUAACUUUGAAAGCCUUAAAAACUCUGAUCAACACAAAGACCAUCCAUGACUCCAGAGGACCAGUGAUGAAGCAUGUUAUUUGCCUCCUAACAAAGAUGGACUCAGGGUACAGACAUGACUAAGUUGGGAAUUUUUUUACUUGACUAUGUAUAUUUGUUAUAAAGGUUUUGUUUUUCCUCUUUUUUUUUAAUGGGAGGUAGGGUGGAAGAAGAGAUUAUUGAUUUUUGUUAAUUUUAAAAAGUAAUUAAAAAAAAGAAUGCAAAUUC
Phascolarctos cinereus (koala) is the source of this 3090-nucleotide long non-coding RNA. RefSeq lists it as uncharacterized. The record is from RefSeq and is a predicted model, not a curated record. NCBI's taxonomy places the organism in Eukaryota, Metazoa, Chordata, Mammalia, Diprotodontia, Phascolarctidae.